GCUUACGGCCAUACCACCCUGAACACGCCGCGAUCUCGUCAGAUCUCGGAAGCUAAGCAGGGUCGGGCCUGGUUAGUACUUGGAUGGGAGACCGCCUGGGAAUACAGGUGCUGUAAGCU
RNAcentral lists this ribosomal RNA (119 nucleotides) under Labrus bergylta (ballan wrasse). Lineage: Eukaryota; Metazoa; Chordata; Actinopteri; Labriformes; Labridae. The record is from RNAcentral.